GACGAACGCUGGCGGCGUGCUUAACACAUGCAGGUCGUACGGUAAGGCCCUUUCGGGGGUACACGAGUGGCGAACGGGUGAGUAACACGUGAGUAACCUGCCCACAACUUUGGGAUAACGCUAGGAAACUGGUGCUAAUACUGGAUAUGUGCUCCUGCUGCAUGGUGGGGGUUGGAAAGCUCCGGCGGUUGUGGAUGGACUCGCGGCCUAUCAGCUUGUUGGUGGGGUAGUGGCCUACCAAGGCGGCGACGGGUAGCCGGCCUGGGAGGGUGACCGGCCACAUUGGGACUGAGAUACGGCCCAGACUCCUACGGGAGGCAGCAGUGGGGAAUAUUGCACAAUGGGCGCAAGCCUGAUGCAGCAACGCCGCGUGCGGGAUGACGGCCUUCGGGUUGUAAACCGCUUUCAGCAGGGACGAAGCUUUUUGUGACGGUACCUGCAGAAGAAGCACCGGCUAACUACGUG
This 465-nucleotide ribosomal RNA is filed under the name uncultured bacterium. Its description in RNAcentral is "partial 16S ribosomal RNA". It matches the Rfam family "Bacterial small subunit ribosomal RNA", at positions 28 to 507 of the family's 1533-position model. The record is from RNAcentral.